GCGAGAGAGUGAGUGAGAGUGAGUGAGUGAGAGAGCGAGAGAGCGAGAGCUCCAGCCUGGCGCGUGUGUGUGUUUUAUUUUCUCGAUAUCUGGAGGAACAGAGGCGCUGGAACAGAAAUGGAUUGAGAAUAAUUUAUCAGAGCUGUGCUGCACCGACUCUACGGGCUCUGGGAGCCGCAGUGUUGAACCGCGCGAGCUGUUUUAAGAUGCCCCUCUCCUGCCUCUAAUCAGCAUGCCUUAUGGGAUUAUUCCUUUGCAACAUUGAUAUCCCAUCAAAGUUUACAUUCCAUUAUAGGAGACCUGAAGUAAAAGCUCAACUUUCUACAAAACGUUUCAUAAUAAAACUGGAGCAGAGUAUAUUUUAAUACUUUCUCUACCAUUUUGGGAUUUUGUUUGUUUUUAUUUUUUUACUGUCCUUUGUCCUACUAUCCCACUGGGUGAAGGCUUAUCAUGAGAUUCCGAAUCUACAAGAGGAAAGUUGUAAUACUGACUCUGGUGGUGGUUGUGUGCGGAUUUGCCUUUUGGAGUAGCGGGAAACAGAAAAAAGAAAGUGCAGUUUUUCCAAAGGAAGUCGAGACUGUUAGGAGGAGCAGCAUAAAUGCAGAGUACCCAGACUCAUUUGGCCAUUACCGCGAAGCCAAAUUCUCUCAAACCAAACACCACU
RNAcentral lists this long non-coding RNA (664 nucleotides) under Astyanax mexicanus (Mexican tetra). RNAcentral describes it as "lncRNA (ENSAMXG00005008670.1)". The record is from RNAcentral. Lineage: Eukaryota; Metazoa; Chordata; Actinopteri; Characiformes; Acestrorhamphidae.